GCAAACUUGGUCAUUUAGAGGAAGUAAAAGUCGUAACAAGGUCUCCGUUGGUGAACCAGCGGAGGGAUCAUUAUAGAGUAUAAAAACUCCUAAACCCAUGUGAAUCUACCCAUUGUUGCUUCGGCAGGUCGUAUCUAUCCGUCGAGUGCCGCCAGUUCUGGCAGCACUUACCCUAUAGUGCGGUAAAGCCUUGCCGAUAGCUCCCUAAACACUGUUUGUAAAUUGAAAUUCUGAAUUGGUAACUAAAUAAGUUAAAACUUUCAACAACGGAUCUCUUGGUUCUGGCAUCGAUGAAGAACGCAGC
RNAcentral lists this unclassified non-coding RNA (304 nucleotides) under uncultured fungus. RNAcentral's name for it is "partial contains small subunit ribosomal RNA, internal transcribed spacer 1, and 5.8S ribosomal RNA". The stretch from base 1 to 73 matches the Rfam family "Eukaryotic small subunit ribosomal RNA", at positions 1759 to 1831 of the family's 1831-position model. Lineage: Eukaryota; Fungi. The record is from RNAcentral.